Long non-coding RNA from Mauremys mutica (yellowpond turtle), 1456 nucleotides. RefSeq lists it as uncharacterized. Lineage: Eukaryota; Metazoa; Chordata; Testudines; Geoemydidae. The transcript has 3 exons. The record is from RefSeq and is a predicted model, not a curated record.
CCCAGUUGCUUGACAUAGGGUCCCUGGACUGGAACCCUAUGUAGAGGGUGGGCCUGGAUUCCCCUACUAGCCACUGGCAGGUGGUACAGAUUGGGCAAUAGAGCAGAAGACUGUCUGGGACAGUUGUUUGAUAAUACUUUGCUAUGCUGGAAGGAGAGGACUACAGUGAUCUGGCUGGAGGACCAAGCUGUUAAGAGAGUCACAGAGAGAGGCAGCAGGAUGUGUGAAUGGGAGGAAGAAGGAGGUAUCUGUCCUGGAAGGAGUUAAUCCCCAGAGUAGCUAGGAAGAGGCAUCCCUAGUGGUGAGUGAACUCUGUGACAGUCACUUUGUAGUCCUUGACCUGGCUGCUGUGUCCAACAUCAUCAAGUUAAUGUUGUCUGCCUGCCUGUAAAGGGUGGCUUGUCCCUUUAACAGCCUGGGGCUCAGUCAACCCUCCUUACUAAGGAGGCACACCUGAGCAGGGUUCAGCUGACUCCCUUAGAAAGAGCAGCCUGAAGCUGAAGGCAGGGGAAUGUAGAAAAAGGAAGGGGCUGCCAGAGACAAGAGGCCUGGCAGUAGCCUUGGAGAAAAGACUGUGGAGAAAAAAUGAAGGGCAGUUACCUUAUCAUGAUCUCAUUUUGAUUGGCUGUUUCUUGCUAAACAACCAGAACCCUGCCAGAAGAACCUGUGAGACUGAUCAGUGAGUGUAGUUUUGGAGCUUGGAGGAGGGGGAGUCUGAAAGGGAAGGGUUGUGCAGACCCUCCCAGGCCAUGAGAGGGCAUUUGGGAAGAUGUCACUCUACAAUGCUGCCUGUUUGGCCUCAGCCCAGGUACUAUGAUAUGCCAUGCUUCUCCUGGCUAUGCCCCUCUAUGUCCUCUUCUCUCCUUCCUUUACCACAAGAUGGCAGCACCCCUGCCCCUUUCUUUGCUAGGAAGGGAAUAGGAAAGAGACUGGGACUCAAUGUAUGGAGAGACAGUAAUGUGUGCAUGCAUCAUCUGAAGGGGGAUCUUGGCAGCCAAAAUGAGAGAUUGGGGCCAACGUUCUCUCCACUCCCUUAAGUACAGGCUGAGAAGAGUCCAAAGGAAAAAACUCCUUUCCCACAAGAGAAGAUUGACAUGGAUCCAAGUCACACAUCACUUGAGGCAUGAUGAUCACACGCAAUGCAGUGCAGUCCUAAGGGUGUGUUGACCUUAAUGCGUGAUAGUGAACAAAGGUCCCUUCUGGUGAUUCAAAGAGGAAGGAGCGUGUGAGCUAUUGCUCAGCUCAUAGGAGCUGCUAUGAAUAAUUUAUUUGUAAACUAGUGGAAUGAGUGAGCAGCAUCAGAACACAGCAAGAGGCAGUAAGGCGUUUUCAGCAGGAACGACCCUCUAGCAACAAACCAAAGAAUUACAAACAAGAGUGUUCCCCAGCAGGAUAUCAACAGGCCUUGGGACUCAGGUAGGGACUAGAGCUGCUGAAAAAGGGGGCUUGGCCAUUG